AAGCUUCGGGGAGCCGGAAAGGGCAUAGAUCCGAAGGUAUCCGAAUGGGGGAACCCGAUAGAGAAGCCCUCUAUCAUCUUUAAAUGAAUACAUAGUUUAAAGAAGCAAGACCUGCUGAAGUGACACAUCUCAGUAAGCAGAGGAAAAGAAAUCUAGAAGAGAUUCCCAUAGUAGCGGCGAGCGAAGUGGGAAGAGCCCAAACCAGGAAUUUAUUUCUGGGGUUGUAGGGCCUAUAAUAAAGCGAAAUCGAAUCUAGCAGAAUGGCAUGGAAAGGCCAGCRAAACAGGGUGAGAGUCCCGUAUGCGAAAGAGGAGGCAAGCGAUAUAGGUACCUGAGUAGGACCGGGCACGGGAAAUCCGGUCUGAAACUGGGGGGACCACCCUCCAAGGCUAAAUACUAAAACGAUGACCGAUAGUGAACAAGUACCGCGAGGGAAAGGUGAAAAGAACCCCUGUUAGGGGAGUGAAAUAGAAACUGAAACCAGCAGCUUACAAACGGUCGAAGGCCUAUG
This 511-nucleotide ribosomal RNA is filed under the name uncultured Chlamydiales bacterium. RNAcentral describes it as "bacterial LSU rRNA". It matches the Rfam family "Bacterial large subunit ribosomal RNA", at positions 73 to 586 of the family's 2925-position model. Lineage: Bacteria; Pseudomonadati; Chlamydiota; Chlamydiia; Chlamydiales. The record is from RNAcentral.